GCCUGACUGGCUCAAAUCAGUAAAGCGUAUGACUCUCGAUCUCAGGGUCAUGAAUUCAAGCCUCAUGUUGGGCA
RNAcentral lists this transfer RNA (74 nucleotides) under Felis catus (domestic cat). It matches the Rfam family "tRNA". From Rfam's summary of the family: Transfer RNA (tRNA) molecules are approximately 80 nucleotides in length. Their secondary structure includes four short double-helical elements and three loops (D, anti-codon, and T loops). Lineage: Eukaryota; Metazoa; Chordata; Mammalia; Carnivora; Felidae. The record is from Rfam by way of RNAcentral.